This 274-nucleotide ribosomal RNA is filed under the name Alexandrium monilatum. RNAcentral describes it as "partial Bacterial large subunit ribosomal RNA". It matches the Rfam family "Bacterial large subunit ribosomal RNA", at positions 882 to 1154 of the family's 2925-position model. Lineage: Eukaryota; Dinophyceae; Gonyaulacales; Pyrocystaceae. The record is from RNAcentral.
UCGGACGAACACUCGAGGGGGUAGAGCACUGGAUGGGCUAGGGCCGCCCACAGCGGUACCGCACUCAACCAAACUCCGAAUACGCACGAGCACUACUCGGGAGACACACGGCGGGUGCUAACGUCCGUCGUGAAGAGGGAAACAACCCAGACCGCCAGCUAAGGUCCCCAAGUUCCAGUUAAGUGGGAAACGAUGUGGGAAGGCUCAGACAGCUAGGAGGUUGGCUUAGAAGCAGCCAUCCUUUAAAGAAAGCGUAAUAGCUCACUAGUCGAGU